Molecule: RNA transcript, 3252 nt
Organism: Mastomys coucha (southern multimammate mouse)
Lineage: Eukaryota; Metazoa; Chordata; Mammalia; Rodentia; Muridae
Exons: 4
Source: RefSeq, a predicted model, not a curated record
AAAAAAAUGGGGGUGAGAAAGUCUCUACUCUCAGAAAGGGGAAAGGAAAAUGAUAUGGUACACAUCCCCUUGUCUGGUAAUCACUGCCAUGGUGGCCGAGAUUUGCAAGUGGGUCAAAGAGAAAUAGACAUUAUAUUAUCUAUUUCCGAAAGGGCACGUGAAGCCACAAUUAUGACUUAGCAAGUGGGUCGUUUCCCACCCGCCCCAGAAAGGUGAAUUCAAGAGUUCCCCUGGGGAAGGGUGGCUGGGUAGACUAGGAAUUCUCUCCCCUUAACUACUCAAGGGAGAACCCCAAAGCACGGGGAAGGCAUCAUGCCAUCGGGGUUCGGAAACGGUUCAAAUCUCCCGAAGGGUCCCUGGCCGAGAGCGUGUGACCUCCGCCAGGCGAUGGGUUCGCCCCAGCUUCAGUUUCUACAAAAGGACAGCAGGCUCCCGGCGGCAUCCGGGGCCGCGCACAGUGCAGGGUGUACCAGACAGCGCUAACCCGAAGUCCCGCUUGGCGCGGCGGGCCCAGCCUGUCCCUCGGGGCAUGGCCACCGCCCAGGCCUCGGCCGCCGGCCACGCGGCCACCACGCCCCGACUCCCAGCCACCGCCCCUCCCGCCGGGCCCCACCCGGCCGGUCCGACUCACCGGUGUAGUGAACAACGCAGGUCUGGCCGCGCUUCGGGAAGGUGCGCCCUGAGGAGAGACAGACUGCAGGUGAGUGGCUGGAGCUGCGGCCGGGGAGCGGGGCGGCGGGUGUCUACUCACCGUCUCCAGGAGAGAUGGUCUCCACCUGCACUCCCAUGGCGGCGGCGGCGUUGGCGGAGGAGAAGAACGCGGGUGGCGGCGCGACGGGCGGCGUGGAGCCGGAGCGGACCUGGCGGCGGUUCAGAUGUUCAGCUUCGUCCCUCUCGUGUCUUCUGCGCACGCGCACGGCACUGCACGCCCCGCCCCGCCCUGCUUGCGCGAGGCGCUCCCAUCCCUGAGCGGGGCGGCUGGGCGGAGGGACCGGAAGUCCGGAGGCCACCGACCCCCGGAUGCAGCUGCGGCGGAAGGCGCGUCCUGUUGGCUACUCCCGGCUUUCCUCUGCGUUUCUCCGCCUCGGAAACGCCGCGGUAAUAACGGGUCCACCAGCUACUGACGAGCUCACUUAGAGAUGCUUUACUCUCGCGCGCGUCUAAUUGUCCUGUAAAGACGACAGUUGUGAGUUGGCGGUGCACCUGUGGAACCAAGGGAAGGUCCGUAAGUGGCCCUCGGUUCCGAGCUCCCUAUUGGAAGAGUCAGUGUUAACACUGGCCUGCACGAAAGCCCACUUUCCACGAAUACUAUAUAUUAAUAUAUAUGGAAAUGUAGAGGGCAGUGGUGGCGCACGACUUUAAUCCCAGCACUCGGGAGGUAGAGGCAGGCCUGGUCUACAGAGCGAGUUCCAGGGCAGUCAAGAAGGAUAAACUUCUUUGUCUCAAAAAAACAAAACAAAACAAACAAAACCAAAAAGAAAAUAUCUAUGUAUGGGGCUCUGUGAGUUUUGCUUGAAUAUCUUCAGUACUUUAAAGAAUAAAAACUUAAUGGGCUAGAAAGAUGGCUCCGGUGUUAAAAGCACUGGUUGCUCUUCCCGAGUUCAAUUCCCACACCCACAUAUAACGUUUCACAACUGUCUGUGCUAUCUCCAGUUCCAGGGAAUCACACACUCGGUGUACAGGUGCAUACAUAGGCAGAACACUCAUUCACAUAAAAUAAAAGUGCCAGGGUUGCUGGUGCAGACCUCUAACCCCAGUGCUGAGAAGAGGCUAGUCAGACUAGCCUAUUCAGUGAGCCCCGGGCCAGUGAGAAACCGUAUCAAAAGAGGUAGACAGGAAACAACGUUCCCGAAGACCAUACGUGCAGCUGAACCAGUCUGCCUCCAUCUUAGGCUGAAUUCAGAAAUUCAGAAGCUGGUUCCUUACCUCUGGCCCUCUGGGACUGAGUAACUGUACCUUAGGGGGUGCACAUCUUGGAGAAGCACACACCUUCAGUUUGUUGGAGUGCCUGAGCAAACAUCAGCAUCAAAAAACCAAGCCAACAAACCCCUUAAAAACAUAUUAUUUAUUUUAUGGAGUCUUCCUCUGGUAAAUCAUAGAAGCUUUUAAUUUUUUUUCUAUGACAUCUGGUUUCUGGUUCUGUUAGAUCCCAAUCUAGGGACCAAACUGCUGCAGAGGUGAUCUACACCACGACAUCCCCACAAACAGAGCCAGAAAGUCCUGGACUUGCUCAGAGCUGAUGUAAACCAGUCUAGUCAACGUGCUACUUCCUUUCUCUUUGUCUGGGCCAGCAAACCACAUGCUUCUGACGAAUACCCCACAACCCUAGCCCCCUCCUGGCCUUUGGGUAAUAUUUCAGCCUUACUGGGCUCUAACAAUGACAUCCUAAUCUUUGCAGUUAGUAGGUAUAGAGAAGAAUACAUCUUCUCUUGUUCUCAGCCAAGAGUUGGAAUAUUAGGUCCAAGGGAACUAACUCCCUGGCAAAGGAAACAAAAUAGCUACUUAUAGAACUUAUUGGCAUACCAAGAUUAUGUGGCCUUAAAAUAUUUGUUUUAUCCUUGCUAACCAAACAGAUGUAAUUUAUGAUUUCAUCAUUUGAUACAUUCCAAAUUUUGUUUCCACCCAGAUAAAGAAUGCUAAGACCCUACCAAAGAUUUCACAGGGGCACAGAAGACAGGCAGGGAAUGAAGAUCCAGCCUGCCUCCAUCCUAGGUUUCAAAGCCAUCUUAUCAUAAAGACAAAGGAGGACAGGAAGCAAGCAGUUUGCCCAAUGAUCCCAGAAGAGAGCUGCAUUUUAAAAACUGCCUUUCCUUUGUGCUCAACCUUCCAGCUGCCUUGAGCAAGCUAUUUGAGCAACAGAACCCACCCACCUCCUGCUCCCUUGGAGAUGCUCAAUGUCCUUUGUAAUCUGGCUGAGGUCAGUGGCAGCUUUAAAGGCCAGAUGGGUGACAGAGUGGGUACGUAAGGUUGAGCUGAGGACAAGAAGAGAAUUGAAAGCCACUGUCCACCUUUCCUGUCCUUCUGAUAUGUUAAACCACAACAAACUACGGCACACCUCUCCCUGGGAUGAAAGCACUACAACCCAGAAAUAUUCUGUAUCACAGGACUGAUGGUCUGAGGAUGGACUGAGAUCACGCAGGGGUUCUGCAUCACAGGACUGAUGGUCUGAGGAUGGAAUGAGAUCACGCAGGGGAAGGAAUUAGCUUAUCAUGAAAUGAAGGAAAGAGCACAAUAAAUGGUUUAUUUAUUACA